This 679-nucleotide ribosomal RNA is filed under the name uncultured bacterium. RNAcentral describes it as "bacterial SSU rRNA". It matches the Rfam family "Bacterial small subunit ribosomal RNA", at positions 8 to 686 of the family's 1533-position model. The record is from RNAcentral.
AGAGUUUGAUCCUGGCUCAGGAUGAACGCUGGCGGCGUGCUUAACACAUGCAAGUCGAGCGAAGCGUAUUUGCGGAAGUUUUCGGAUGGAAGCGGAUGCGACUUAGCGGCGGACGGGUGAGUAACGCGUGGGUAACCUGCCUCAUACAGGGGGAUAACAGUUAGAAAUGACUGCUAAUACCGCAUAAGCGCACAGGACCGCAUGGUCCGGUGUGAAAAACUCCGGUGGUAUGAGAUGGACCCGCGUCUGAUUAGCUGGUUGGCGGGGUAACGGCCCACCAAGGCGAAGAUCAGUAGCCGACCUGAGAGGGUGGCCGGCCACAUUGGGACUGAGACACGGCCCAAACUCCUACGGGAGGCAGCAGUGGGGAAUAUUGCACAAUGGGGGAAACCCUGAUGCAGCAACGCCGCGUGAGUGAAGAAGUAUUUCGGUAUGUAAAGCUCUAUCAGCAGGGAAGAAAAAAGACGGUACCUGACUAAGAAGCCCCGGCUAACUACGUGCCAGCAGCCGCGGUAAUACGUAGGGGGCAAGCGUUAUCCGGAUUUACUGGGUGUAAAGGGAGCGUAGACGGCAUAGCAAGUCUGAAGUGAAAGCCCGUGGCUCAACCGCGGAACUGCUUUGGAAACUGUUAAGCUGGAGUACUGGAGAGGCAAGCGGAAUUCCUAGUGUAGCGGUGAAA